AACUCAAUUUUUUUUCGAAUUUCAAAUUUGAAACAAAAUAGAUUUUCGAAUUUGAAUAACUCAAAUACUUCGAAUAAACCGAAUACCAAUCUAUAAUAUUUUACAUUUUUACCCCAAACUCCCAUAACCUAUUUACUUUCCCCUAAAAUUUUUACUCCCUCCCACUUUCCCCCCACAACUUUUAUUCCCCUCCCAUCCCACCCCUUCUACCCUCAAACCCAUUUCCCACCAAAAUUUUACUCCCCCAUUUAUCCCCCCCC
RNAcentral lists this long non-coding RNA (260 nucleotides) under Gossypium raimondii (Peruvian cotton). Its description in RNAcentral is "long non-coding RNA (GRAI_LNC009191)". The record is from RNAcentral. Lineage: Eukaryota; Viridiplantae; Streptophyta; Magnoliopsida; Malvales; Malvaceae.